GACGUAGGGCGCGAGCGUUGUCCGGAUUUAUUGGGCGUAAAGAGCUCGUAGGCGGCUUGUUGCGUCGACCGUGAAAACCCGGGGCUUAACUUCGGGCUUGCGGUCGAUACGGGCGGGCUAGAGUUCGGUAGGGGAGACUGGAAUUCCUGGUGUAGCGGUGAAAUGCGCAGAUAUCAGGAGGAACACCUGCGGUGUAGACGGCUUACUGGACCAUAACUGACGCUGAGGCACGAAAGCGUGGGUAGCAAACAGG
Molecule: ribosomal RNA, 253 nt
Filed under: uncultured bacterium
Lineage: Bacteria
Description: partial 16S ribosomal RNA
Rfam family: Bacterial small subunit ribosomal RNA
Source: RNAcentral